GAUGAACGCUGGCGGCGUGUCUAAUACAUGCAAGUCGAGCGAACGGACGAGAAGCUUGCUUCUCUGAUGUUAGCGGCGGACGGGUGAGUAACACGUGGAUAACCUACCUAUAAGACUGGGAUAACUUCGGGAAACCGUAGCUAAUACCGGAUAAUAUUUUGAACCGCAUGGUUCAAAAGUGAAAGACGGUCUUGCUGUCACUUAUAGAUGGAUCCGCGCUGCAUUAUCUAGUUGGUAAGGUAACGGCUUACCAAGGCAACGAUGCAUAGCCGACCUGAGAGGGUGAUCGGCCACACUGGAACUGAGACACGGUCCAGACUCCUACGGGAGGCAGCAGUAGGGAAUCUUCCGCAAUGGGCGAAAGCCUGACGGAGCAACGCCGCGUGAGUGAUGAAGGUCUUCGGAUCGUAAAACUCUGUUAUUAGGGAAGAACAUAUGUGUAAGUAACUGUGCACAUCUUGACGGUACCUAAUCAGAAAGCCACGGCUAACUACGUG
This 497-nucleotide ribosomal RNA is filed under the name uncultured bacterium. RNAcentral describes it as "partial 16S ribosomal RNA". It matches the Rfam family "Bacterial small subunit ribosomal RNA", at positions 28 to 507 of the family's 1533-position model. The record is from RNAcentral.